UUAAACGGCCGCGGUACCCUAACCGUGCGAAGGUAGCGCAAUCACUUGUUCUUUAAAUAAGGACUAGUAUGAACGGCAUCACGAAGAUUAUGCUGUCUCCCUUUUCCAAUCAGUGAAACUGAUCUCCCCGUGAAGAAGCGGGGAUACACUUAUAAGACGAGAAGACCCCAUGGAGCUUUAAACUCAAUAACAACUGCCUUACACAUAUCCUAAUAAUUAGGCAAGAGUGAUUAUUAGUUUUCGGUUGGGGUGACCACGGAGCAAAACAAAACCUCCAUGAUGAAAAGAACACCAUUCUUUAUUUAAGAGUUACUACUCUAAAAAUCAAUAAAUUGACAUUCCUUGAUCCAAAUUUUUUGAUCAACGAACCAAGUUACCCUGGGGAUAACAGCGCAAUCCAUUUUAAGAGCUCCUAUCGACAAAUGGGUUUACGACCUCGAUGUUGGAUCAGGGUAUCCCAGUGGUGCAGCCGCUACUAAUGGUUCGUUUGUUCAAC
This 496-nucleotide ribosomal RNA is filed under the name Paradoxophyla palmata (web-foot frog). RNAcentral's name for it is "partial large subunit ribosomal RNA". It matches the Rfam family "Bacterial large subunit ribosomal RNA", at positions 1923 to 2585 of the family's 2925-position model. The record is from RNAcentral. Lineage: Eukaryota; Metazoa; Chordata; Amphibia; Anura; Microhylidae.